RNAcentral lists this long non-coding RNA (563 nucleotides) under Heterocephalus glaber (naked mole-rat). RNAcentral describes it as "lncRNA (ENSHGLG00100048772.1)". Lineage: Eukaryota; Metazoa; Chordata; Mammalia; Rodentia; Bathyergidae. The record is from RNAcentral.
GUCAAACUUGCUCUCAUCUUUUUACCACACUGCACUUCCUCGGAACCUUCCUUUGCCUUUGCUGUGUUCUAAGGCCGUAGAAGUGGUAAGUCACUAGCUCUCUCUGUCAUUUUUUUUUUCUUCUGAUAAAUGAGGUAUUUGGAACAUACUUAAAAUUUAGUUUAGUUCCAACAUUCUAAGAGCCUUCAUUAGAGUGACCAAGUACACUGGUUAUUUUAUUUCAUUUCAUUUUACUUUAUUUUUAAAUUUAUACCAGGGUCAUUCAAGGUCUCAUCACUGCAAAUGAAAAUAUUAAAUAAUAUUCAUAAGCCAUGUUUGAAUCCACCACAUCAGAGAAGGAGUUGGGGACUCCUAGACUCCUCUUUUUCCUUUGGGAGGAAAAGGAAAUUGGCAAACAUUUUGAAAAAACUGGAUACUAUCCCAACAUCCUUAGAGUCAGCACUGUGUCUAUAAAUUGUAACAUCUUAACUGAUAAAACGUGCUUCUUCAUGCAAAAGAUGAUCCUGGAUGCAGAUCACUUUCUCCAGAAAGUCUUCCUGGAAACCAGCUCUCCUCAAACUGAC